Molecule: ribosomal RNA, 453 nt
Filed under: uncultured bacterium
Lineage: Bacteria
Description: bacterial SSU rRNA
Rfam family: Bacterial small subunit ribosomal RNA
Source: RNAcentral
UACGGGAGGCAGCAGUGGGGAAUAUUGCACAAUGGGCGCAAGCCUGAUGCAGCCAUGCCGCGUGUAUGAAAAAGGCCUUCGGGUUGUAAAGUACUUUCAGUCGUGAGGAAGGUGUUAAGGUUAAUAACCUUAGCAAUUGACGUUAGCGACAGAAGAAGCACCGGCUAACUCCGUGCCAGCAGCCGCGGUAAUACGGAGGGUGCGAGCGUUAAUCGGAAUUACUGGGCGUAAAGGGCACGCAGGCGGUUAAUUAAGUUGGAUGUGAAAUCCCCGGGCUUAACCUGGGAAUGGCAUUCAAGCUGGUUAGCUAGAGUCUUGUAGAGGGGGUAGAAUUCCAUGUGUAGCGGUGAAAUGCGUAGAGAUGUGGAGGAAUACCGGUGGCGAAGGCGGCCCCUGGACAAAGACUGACGCUCAUGUACGAAAGCGUGGGGAGCAAACAGGGAUUAGAUACCC